Molecule: long non-coding RNA, 8801 nt
Organism: Hemicordylus capensis (graceful crag lizard)
Lineage: Eukaryota; Metazoa; Chordata; Lepidosauria; Squamata; Cordylidae
Exons: 7
Source: RefSeq, a predicted model, not a curated record
CUGUCGUCCUCCUGUGCCGUUCAAAGCAACCCAAGAAAAGUGGCAGGAGAUAAGGAUCAGAUGAGGAUCUGGUCCUGAACAAAACAGCCUGAAGCUCCUCAAACAGCCUGAAGCUCCCUGGGGGAAACUUGGGCCAAUCACUCUCUAACUACCCUACCUUAUAAGGUGGAUGUGAGGCUAAAAGUUACAUCUGGGGAAUAGCUACAGCGAGGGGAAAAAAGGUAAGUGGCUGUUGCUGCUGCUGCUGCUCCUCCUCCUCCUCCUCCGUCAUAAACUUCCAUACAGCCUUGGGUUUAUUCCAUUUUGGAUAAGUAAAGAACCAAAAUUUCAUUGAUGCCAAAAGACUUUUAAAUUGCAUCCCCCAGCUUGACUGAGCACACACUCUCUUAAAUUUCCAUAGAGUGAAUUGGGCGGGACACCAUUGAUUUUAAAUUCCCUGUUUGGGCAGGUUUAAGCCAGUGGACUGGAGUCCCAUGGGCUUGGAAUCUCCAAUGGCUCAACUGGGCAAGACAAUUGGUGUCUUUAAAUUCUGUAAGGGCCCUGUGGACAUAUUUUUCAGCCAGGGAUGUAGUGUUUACAUUUGGAUCGACUGACCACCACCUCCAGCCCACUUGUAGUCAUGCUGUUGAUAAGGUUUGAAUCAAAUGGAACACGUUGCGUCCUUUAUAUGUGCUGCGUCCCAAGUGUUGAGUGACCCAUGAAGAGAUGACUGCACUCAUGGCGAUCUCGGAUCCUUAUUCCUUACUCAAGGAAAGCAUUGAUUUGCAAUGUAGGUCUCAAGGUUUUGAUGGGGUGUGGGUUUAUUUUCUCCUUUUCACAGUUAAAGCACCACACUUUCUUUGAUACCAGGAUAUGUUGAACAGUAGGGCGUACAACUUGGGGUGCCUCUGUUAUGGCACAAGAGAUAUUCACAGACUGGAUUGGGCAGGUUUCGGACCACAAUGUGGAUCUGGACUUCUAAAUUUAUAUUCUGAUUGGGCAAGACCUCUAGGGUUUUUAAAUUCUAUGUUGAUCGAAUUGGGCAAGACCUCUAGGGUUUUUAAAUUCUAUGUGGAAUUGGGCAAGAUCAGGGCCUGUGUGGGCCUCGAUUUUUAAAUUGCAGCCCCCAGCUAGACUUGUAAAUUGGUAUUCUGAUUGGGCAAGACCUCUAGGGUUUUUAAAUUGUAUAUGGAAUUGGGCAAGAUCAGGGCCUGUGUGGGCCUCCAUUUUUAAAUUGCAUCCCCCAGCUUGACCGAGCACACACUCUCUUAAAUUUCCUUAGAUUGAAUUGGGCGGGACACCAUUGUUUUUAAAUUCCCUGUUUGGGCAGGUUUAAGCCAUUGGAAUGGAGUCCCAUGGGCUUGGAAUUUCCAAUGGCUCAACUGGGCAAGACAAUUGGUGUCUUUAAAUUCUGUAAGGGCCCUGUGGACAUAUUUUUCAGCCAGGAAUGUAGUGUUUACAUUUGGACAUAUUGGUCGUAUUACUGACCACCACCCCCGGCCCAAUUUUAGUCAUGCUGUUGAUAAGGUUUGAAUCAAAUGGAACACGUUGCGUCCUUUAUAUGUGCUGCAUCCCAAGUGUUGAGUGACCCAUGAAGAGAUGACUGCUUUUUUAAUGCACUCAUGGCCAUUCGGAUCCUUAUUCCUUACGCAAGGAGAUCAUUGAUUUUGAAUGUUGGGCUCAAGGUUUUGAUGUUUUUCUGUCUAUUGAUAAAAUGGAAGGAAUCAUUUCACAAUCCACAUGCAAAUGUUUAAAUUGGUUGUGUCAUGCAAGGGUUUUGAGAACUGAGUUGACUGAAGGAAUAAUGUGAUGGUCUUGUCAACAAGAGAAGUGCUUGCAACCUAGGUGCAAUUCAUGCUAUUUGCAAAAAACAAACCAACCAAAACACCCACAUUGACAUCUGUUGGUAAGGUUGUGUCUGUUUUGAAGAUGAUGUUUAGCAUUUUAGCAUUCAAGACUCUUCAGACAUUGAUUGUGAGAACGCCCAGCCUGAGAAAUUGACACCAGAGUGAACGGAGGUUAAUGCAGCUGCUUAAGGAGAGGAAGGCAGAUCAUCAAAGAUGGCGGGAGUCCAGUGGUGAGGACGGGAGGUUGGGAGAAGCUAUGAAGGAGUCUAGAAGAGACUCUACGGUGGGAGCACACACUUUGGGAGGAGCAGGAUCAGCCCCUUGAUUAUUUUGGUUUCCCUCUGCUACACCUUCUUCAGUUCGACAGUAAUCCUUUUUUUGUAAUCUGGUGACCGGAAUGAUACGCAGUACAUCUGAGGAACAGCUACAACUGGAAACAAGGUCAGCUUCAUGUUGUUGUUGUUGUUGUUGUUGUUGUUGUUGCUGUUAUACCCCAGUAAGCUUCCAUACCACCUUGGGUUUAUAUUCUCUUUUUGACAGUUAGAGCACCACAUUUUCAUUGAUAACAGGAGAUGUUGAACACUAGGGCGUACAUCUUUGGGUGCCUCUGUUAUGGCACAAGAGAUAUUCCCAGAUUGGAUUGGGCAGGUUUCGGACCACAAUGUGGAUCUGGACUUCUAAAUUUAUAUUCUGAUUGGGCAAGACCUCUAGGGUUUUUAAAUUCUAUGUUGAUCGAAUUGGGCAAGACCUCUAGGGUUUUUAAAUUGUAUGUGGAAUUGGGCAAGAUCAGGGCCUGUGUGGGCCUCGAUUUUUAAAUUGCAGCCCCCAGCUAGACUUGUAAAUUGGUAUUCUGAUUGGGCAAGACCUCUAGGGUUUUUAAAUUGUAUAUGGAAUUGGGCAAGAUCAGGGCCUGUGUGGGCCUCGAUUUUUAAAUUGCAUCCCCCAGCUUGAUUGAGCACACACUCUCUUAAAUUUCCAUAGAGUGAAUUGGGCGGGACACCAUUGUUUUUAAAUUCCCUGUUUGGGCAGGUUUAAGCCAGUGGACUGGAGUCCCAUGGGCUUGGAAUCUCCAAUGGCUCAACUGGGCAAGACAAUUGGUGUCUUUAAAUUCUGUAAGGGCCCUGUGGACAUAUUUUUCAGCCAGGGAUGUAGUGUUUACAUUUGGACAUAUUGGUCGUAUUACUGACCACCACCCCCGGCCCAAUUUUAGUCAUGCUGUUGAUAAGGUUUGAAUCAAAUGGAACACGUUGCAUCCUUUAUAUGUGCUGCAUCCCAAGUGUUGAGUGACCCAUGAAGAGAUGACUGCUUUUUUAAUGCACUCAUGGCCAUUCGGAUCCUUAUUCCUUACGCAAGGAGAUCAUUGAUUUUGAAUGUUGGGCUCAAGGUUUUGAUGUUUUUCUGUCUAUUGAUAAAAUGGAAGGAAUCAUUUCACAAUCCACAUGCAAAUGUUUAAAUUGGUUGUGUCAUGCAAGGGUUUUGAGAACUGAGUUGACUGAAGGAAUAAUGUGAUGGUCUUGUCAACAAGAGAAGUGCCUGCAACCUAGGUGCAAUUCAUGCUAUUUGCAAAAAACAAACCAACCAAAACACCCACAUUGACAUCUGUUGGUAAGGUUGUGUCUGUUUUGAAGAUGAUGUUUAGCAUUUUAGCAUUCAAGACUCUUCAGACAUUGAUUGUGAGAACGCCCAGCCUGAGAAAUUGACACCAGAGUGAACGGAGGUUAAUGCAGCUGCUUAAGGAGAGGAAGGCAGAUCAUCAAAGAUGGCGGGAGUCCAGUGGUGAGGACGGGAGGUUGGGAGAAGCUAUGAAGGAGUCUAGAAGAGACUCUACGGUGGGAGCACACACUUUGGGAGGAGCAGGAUCAGCCCCUUGAUUAUUUUGGUUUCCCUCUGCUACACCUUCUUCAGUUCGACAGUAAUCCUUUUUUUGUAAUCUGGUGACCGGAAUGAUACGCAGUACAUCUGAGGAACAGCUACAACUGGAAACAAGGUCAGCUUCAUGUUGUUGUUGUUGUUGUUGUUGUUGUUGUUGUUGUUGCUGUUAUACCCCAGUAAGCUUCCAUACCACCUUGGGUUUAUAUUCUCUUUUUGACAGUUAGAGCACCACAUUUUCAUUGAUAACAGGAGAUGUUGAACACUAGGGCGUACAUCUUUGGGUGCCUCUGUUAUGGCACAAGAGAUAUUCCCAGAUUGGAUUGGGCAGGUUUCGGACCACAAUGUGGAUCUGGACUUCUAAAUUUAUAUUCUGAUUGGGCAAGACCUCUAGGGUUUUUAAAUUCUAUGUUGAUCGAAUUGGGCAAGACCUCUAGGGUUUUUAAAUUGUAUGUGGAAUUGGGCAAGAUCAGGGCCUGUGUGGGCCUCGAUUUUUAAAUUGCAGCCCCCAGCUAGACUUGUAAAUUGGUAUUCUGAUUGGGCAAGACCUCUAGGGUUUUUAAAUUGUAUAUGGAAUUGGGCAAGAUCAGGGCCUGUGUGGGCCUCCAUUUUUAAAUUGCAUCCCCCAGCUUGACCGAGCACACACUCUCUUAAAUUUCCUUAGAUUGAAUUGGGCGGGACACCAUUGUUUUUAAAUUCCCUGUUUGGGCAGGUUUAAGCCAUUGGAAUGGAGUCCCAUGGGCUUGGAAUCUCCAAUGGCUCAACUGGGCAAGACAAUUGGUGUCUUUAAAUUCUGUAAGGGCCCUGUGGACAUAUUUUUCAGCCAGGAAUGUAGUGUUUACAUUUGGACAUAUUGGUCGUAUUACUGACCACCACCCCCGGCCCAAUUUUAGUCAUGCUGUUGAUAAGGUUUGAAUCAAAUGGAACAUGUUGCGUCCUUUAUAUGUGCUGCAUCCCAAGUGUUGAGUGACCCAUGAAGAGAUGACUGCUUUUUUAAUGCACUCAUGGCCAUUCGGAUCCUUAUUCCUUACGCAAGGAGAUCAUUGAUUUUGAAUGUUGGGCUCAAGGUUUUGAUGUUUUUCUGUCUAUUGAUAAAAUGGAAGGAAUCAUUUCACAAUCCACAUGCAAAUGUUUAAAUUGGUUGUGUCAUGCAAGGGUUUUGAGAACUGAGUUGACUGAAGGAAUAAUGUGAUGGUCUUGUCAACAAGAGAAGUGCCUGCAACCUAGGUGCAAUUCAUGCUAUUUGCAAAAAACAAACCAACCAAAACACCCACAUUGACAUCUGUUGGUAAGGUUGUGUCUGUUUUGAAGAUGAUGUUUAGCAUUUUAGCAUUCAAGACUCUUCAGACAUUGAUUGUGAGAACGCCCAGCCUGAGAAAUUGACACCAGAGUGAACGGAGGUUAAUGCAGCUGCUUAAGGAGAGGAAGGCAGAUCAUCAAAGAUGGCGGGAGUCCAGUGGUGAGGACGGGAGGUUGGGAGAAGCUAUGAAGGAGUCUAGAAGAGACUCUACGGUGGGAGCACACACUUUGGGAGGAGCAGGAUCAGCCCCUUGAUUAUUUUGGUUUCCCUCUGCUACACCUUCUUCAGUUCGACAGUAAUCCUUUUUUUGUAAUCUGGUGACCGGAAUGAUACGCAGUAAGUAUUCCAAAUGUGGCUACCCCAUAGACCAGGGCAGCACAACUCCGAACCUCCUGCAGAUGUUUGACUAUGAUUCCCAAUAUCCCUGACUAUGGGUAAUGGGACUGGGGAUGGUUGGAGUUGUAGUCCAAAACCAGAGGGAGGACUGGGGUUGUGCAGCCCUGCCGUAGACUGAUGUCUAUAUACGGCUUAUCGUUGUAAGGAGCAGUGUGAAUGCUGUGCUCCAUUUUUUGAUGAUUUUUCUAUCUGUUGAUAAAAUGGAAAUAAUCAUUUCACAUGCAAAUGUUUAAAUCGGUUGUGUAAUGCAAAGGUUUUGAGAACUGUCUUGACUAAAAAAAAAGUUUGAUUGUCUUGUCAACUGGAAAGGUUCCUGCAGCCUAGGCACAAAUCAUGCUAUCUUGUACAGACACAAAAAGACUUCUGUUGGAAGGCUCUAUCUCUUUUGAACAUGGUGUUUAGCUUUUUAGCAUUCAAGACUCUUCAGACAUUGAUUGUGAGAACGCCCAACCUGAGAAAUUGACACCAGAGUGAACGGAGGUUAAUGCAACUGCUUAAGGAGAGGAAGGCAGAUCAUCAAAGAUGGCGGGAGUCCAGUGGUGAGGACGGGGUGAGUAACUGCACCUGACUGGUUGGAUGAAGCCCCAUCUGUACUGGGCUUCUUCCAUAACAAAUGCCAAUUCAUUAAAAAAAAAAAUCGGUACUGACAUUUCUCAGUGACUCUCUUACAUUGCUUGGGAGAAGCUAAGAAGAAGGAUAGAAAAGACGUUACAUUCAUCACAUGCACUUUGGUAAGGGCAGCAUCAGCCCCUUGAUCAUUUCAGUUUCCUUCUGCUUCACCAAUUGCAGCUCAACAGUAUUCCGUUUUUUGCAGUCCAGUGACCAGAACGAUAUGCAGUAAGUAUUCCAACUGUGGCUAUCCCAUAGUCCAGAGUGGCACAACUCCGGUCCUCCUGCAGAUGUUUGACUAUGAUUCCCAUGAUCCUUGACUACUGGCCACUGUGGAAGUCAUCCUAACUUCAAUUGACUUGGAUAUAUGUGGUUUUGCUUUAACUUGAAUUAUUUUCCCCAGCUAUUGCUCAUGCCUAGUUGACAGCUUCGCCAGAGGUUUCCAGAUACCUAUCCUUUUUCAAUGCGGCUUGCUUGUUCAAAUCGCUAUGAAUUGCUUCUCUUUAGGAUGCUGAUGGUGAUGCCUCUCCCCAAAUAAAACCAGACAGAUAAGACAUGCAUUCACCUCACAGCAGGUGGGGGAAAGAUAGGUCUCUACCUUCAUGUUGUCUUACUUUUAUUGUUGCAGACUUCAGCAGCAUGGUCAGAAUUUUAGAUCUGGAAAACAGUGUUGGAGAAAAGGAUGGCGCACUCCAUCCAGCAGAGCUCUUUUUACUUCAUAGAUAUUAUCAUUGUUGUUGUUACAUGCUUGAGGAGUGAGACAUGCAUGCCAUAUCUCUGUUUCUCUGUCCUGAGCCUAUCAAUCAAUUCUGUUCAGUGAUUCUUUUCUAUUUAGCGGAUUGGGGGGAGCAACUGUCCCCCUCCCGGGGUUGUUGCUGGGGUCUACCUUCUUCCUUUUUAGAUUGCGAGCCCUUUGGGAGCCGUCUUUAAUAUUUUAUCUAUGUAAACUGCAUGGAGAACUGUGUUGAAGAUUUGUACUAAUAGUAAGUAUGGCGGUGGAUGACAACAAAUAUCAGGUCGGAUUAGGAAUCCCAGAUGCCGGUCCGGGCCCUUUUGGACCCUUCAAAAGGUAGGGGUGAAAAAAACUGCUAAUUUUUUUAAUCAGCAAGAAUCCCCAUAGAAAUCUAUUAGGAAACGAAAAAAUAGAUAGAGGGUGGGUGUGUUGGGAUAGCUACCUAGGGAACUCUGAAAAUUGGCCGACAAUUAGGUAAGGAUGACCAGAAUCUGUAUAUUUAAUUAAAAUUGAAUUGGACCUUCCCUUUUAAAAAAAUUAUUAUUUUUUUAAGUAACCUGGAAAUUGUACUCUCAGAGUGAAUGCAGAAGAAAGGUGAUGUAAUCUCAGAGAAUCUCAGGGGAAGUUAUGUGAAACUGAGGUAAUAUUCUGCCCUCUUUUUCAAAUGGUAAGUGAAAUAAAAGACAAAAAAUAAGAAAUAUCUUACAUAAAAGAUACAUGGGUGCGCAGGCGGGUGGGCAAAUGGUAACAGACUCCCCACCCACCGCCCAGCCCCAAUCAGUGACAAAAUGUGCCCCACCACCACCAUCUGGAGCUCUAAAAUGGGUCAGAAAUGCCCAGAUGGCAUUAGGGAACUCUGACUCAAUGUAGGCUUCCCAACGUCGGGAUUGGCUUAUCCUCAACACCCUCCAACAUGGUCCAUAUCAGGCCACGUCCAACGCAAUUGAUGCAAACGUGAACAGCCAUAUAUUAAGGACCUUCUUUAUUUCUGUUCCGAUUCUGCCCCCAAACUGAGCUGAACAGACCCAAGCCCAGAGAAGGAAGGACCUUGCAAAGGGAUUUGGAAGACAGCAUUUUGAGACAGAAAUACCCAAAUAUCUUUGGGAGCUCAAUGCAAUUCCAAAGCUCUUGCUAAAAGCCAUGGUAUAAGUUGCAUGGAGAAGCUUUUCCAAAAGCUGGUUAAGAGAGUUCUGAAAUUACACAGGUUUUUCUUUCCAAAGGUUUAGAAAGAAUCCCUUGACUUGUUCAGGGGUCUUUUGAAGAGCUAUUUUGUUUUUCUUCUGAUGUUUAUGAGUUAUAGUGGUAUCUAAGUUUUGUUGCCCAAGUUGAGCAGUCUAAUGUAAUUUAGGCCACAAUGUAAUUUGGUGGGACAUGACGUCUAAGCCAGUGGUUCACAACUUUUGCCAUUGCAGGGACAGGUCAUCCACAUGGGACUACAUGAGACAAAAGGAGUGGGGGGGGGGAUACCCCUGUCAAUCUAUUGACAUCCCCAGGAAUCUUAGUUGCUUCUCUCUUUCUUGUAAUCAUGAUCCAUGGUUUUGCACUUUCUUAAAUGCAGUGACGAUAAAUCUCAACAAUUCUGAAUACUAGGCUGAUUUGCUUGGGCUACUGCUCACUCCACUUCAGUUAAAUGAACAUUUGAAGCUGUUCCAUAGUACCAAGGCAGGUCAUUGGUUAUCUUGCUAUCUCAAGUGACCUGUGGUCACUGUUCCAUGGGGCGGGAGCGUUUUUAUUGAAAGAUUGCUUGAAUCCACAAAUGGGUUGUGCUGCUGUGUUAGUGCCACAGGGACAGGCUCCCACACGCUGCAAAAUUCCCAAAUAACUAUGCCAAAAAAUUGUGUUGUUGUUGUUCAUCAUUCUCUUCACUCUUUCAACUUGUUUAUGUGGGGCUUCAGGGGCAAAACACUAGGUUGGGUGGCAGUGCCCCACGGAGUGUUGCACCCAGAUUCCAAAUAGGGCAAAGGGCUGAGUCCCUAGGAAUUUUGAGGUUUACGCGUCUUUAAGAUUUUCCCCCAAAGGGAAUAAAGGAGGUUUAAACAGCCCCAUAACUCCACCUGGGGGGGGCACU